CUUCACCUUUUGACUGUAUGUUCAGCUGGCAGUUAGAGACACUAGACUGGCCAAUGAUAUUUUUAGAACCAAAAAAAAAAAAAAAAAAAAAAAAAAAAAAAAAAAAAAAAAAAAAAAAAAAAAAAAAAAAAAAAAAAAAAAAAAAAAAAAAAAAAAAAAAAAAAAAAAAAAAAAAAAAAAAAAAAAAAAAAAAAAAAAAAAAAAAAAAAAAAAAAAAAAAAAAAAAAAAAAAAAAAAAAAAAAAAAAAAAAAAAAAAAAAAAAAAAAAAAAAAAAAAAAAAAAAAAAAAAAAAAAAAAAAAAAAAAAAAAAAAAAAAAAAAAAAAAAAAAAAAAAAAAAAAAAAAAAAAAAAAAAAAAAAAAAAAAAAAAAAAAAAAAAAAAAAAAAAAAAAAAAAAAAAAAAAAAAAAAAAAAAAAAAAAAAAAAAAAAAAAAAAAAAAAAAAAAAAAAAAAAAAAAAAAAAAAAAAAAAAAAAAAAAAAAAAAAAAAAAAAAAAAAAAAAAAAAAAAAAAAAAAAAAAAAAAAAAAAAAAAAAAAAAAAAAAAAAAAAAAAAAAAAAAAAAAAAAAAAAAAAAAAAAAAAAAAAAAAAAAAAAAAAAAAAAAAAAAAAAAAAAAAAAAAAAAAAAAAAAAAAAAAAAAAAAAAAAAAAAAAAAAAAAAAAAAAAAAAAAAAAAAAAAAAAAAAAAAAAAAAAAAAAAAAAAAAAAAAAAAAAAAAAAAAAAAAAAAAAAAAAAAAAAAAAAAAAAAAAAAAAAAAAAAAAAAAAAAAAAAAAAAAAAAAAAAAAAAAAAAAAAAAAAAAAAAAAAAAAAAAAAAAAAAAAAAAAAAAAAAAAAAAAAAAAAAAAAAAAAAAAAAAAAAAAAAAAAAAAAAAAAAAAAAAAAAAAAAAAAAAAAAAAAAAAAAAAAAAAAAAAAAAAAAAAAAAAAAAAAAAAAAAAAAAAAAAAAAAAAAAAAAAAAAAAAAAAAAAAAAAAAAAAAAAAAAAAAAAAAAAAAAAAAAAAAAGGCGGGGGUGGGGUGGGGUGGGUUACUUUUCAUAGCAUUGCCCAGCUCAGAGAGAACACGGCUUCUAAUAUGUAGACCCUGCCUCCUUUAAUCACUCAAGGCUUAUCAAGACCCUAGAACUAUUGUGAAAAUUCACCAACAGUUUCUCUUACUAAACCUCGUCUUUCCCAUCAUCAUCUCUUCCUCUCAAGUCUCACCAGCAAGAGCUCUGUUGCC
This 1220-nucleotide long non-coding RNA is filed under the name Bos mutus (wild yak). RNAcentral describes it as "lncRNA (ENSBMUG00000015300.1)". Lineage: Eukaryota; Metazoa; Chordata; Mammalia; Artiodactyla; Bovidae. The record is from RNAcentral.